CUAUUUUUCCCGAUCAAAUACUGGGAACUAUUUCAAAUUCUGUUUUCUUCCUGUUUUGGCAUUACAACACGCUUUCGAGUGAUACAUGUUCGUUAGAUGUUUCUCCUUAACGUCUCCCCAACUUGGAUCGAGCUGAAACAAACAGGAGCUGAGGUUGCUUGUUUAAGUCAAAGCUUCAGGAGAUCACCAUAUUUUCAGGACCAGUAAUUUCUGUCUCAAGCUCACUGUCUGACUGCUCUGCUUCCCAGUGAGAAGGCACCACAGAGAGGUGGGGGGAUCUGCUGAGGAGCCAUGGCCAUGCUCCAUAGCCAUGCACCUGCUGAGGAGCCACAGCCUGCACCAUAACAUCACACUGGAUGCAAAAGAAAGAAGCCUUAAUCUCCUUACUGGAAAUUGUACUAUUUAUGCAGCAAAUCCUGCCUCUGAAAUUGCUUGAGAUCACAAGUUACGUAACGUAAACAGAUGGAGUUGGACCAUUUUUUUGGUAUGUCAAUUCAUAUUAUAAUCUGAGCAGGCUGUGAUCGUUUAUCAGCUCAU
RNAcentral lists this long non-coding RNA (537 nucleotides) under Gallus gallus (chicken). RNAcentral describes it as "lncRNA (ENSGALG00010020337.1)". The record is from RNAcentral. Lineage: Eukaryota; Metazoa; Chordata; Aves; Galliformes; Phasianidae.